This 87-nucleotide transfer RNA is filed under the name Peptococcaceae bacterium CEB3. RNAcentral describes it as "tRNA-Ala". The record is from RNAcentral. Lineage: Bacteria; Bacillati; Bacillota; Clostridia; Eubacteriales; Peptococcaceae.
AAGAAUUUGGCCGGGAGAUGUCCGCCUGGCACGCGGAUGCGCAAGCAAGUCAGAUGGCGGUCCUUGGUAACACGCCAGGCGUUUUUG